RNAcentral lists this long non-coding RNA (1419 nucleotides) under Mustela putorius furo (domestic ferret). RNAcentral describes it as "lncRNA (ENSMPUG00000026861.1)". Lineage: Eukaryota; Metazoa; Chordata; Mammalia; Carnivora; Mustelidae. The record is from RNAcentral.
GCACUAUGCAAAGUAUAAUAAUUACAUUAUCUCGUAAUUUCAUAUUCAAUACCCCAGGGUCAUCUUCAUUUAUUUUUGUAAGGCAAACAAACAUUUGCACCUUCACUUCAUCCCUUUCCUUACUGCAGGUAGUAGCUGUGUAUCCACUCCCACGGGGAGAUUAGCAUUUCUUUAGGAAGCCCACCCUCUUAGCUUCGCCCGUCAAAAGCGGUCUUCCUUCUAAACGACUAGGGCCUUAUCCAGUCUAUACACAACCGCCCUCUCCCUAAACCCAAGACGUUAAGCGACCACUGGUUUUAUCAACUCUAUGACCGAGGCCUCUCCAGCGACGUUCCAGCUUCUUCAAACUUUCUUCCCCAAGUCGGCCUUGGUCUGAGCCCAUCCCAGCCGUACGGACACCUGCCUUCCUCUAAGAUGGCCGCGUCCACGGUGCUACCGCCUAACGACUGCACUCGGCAGUGCACAGAGGGCGCCGCCAUCUUUCUUCUCUCGGCGGAUAAACAUGCCUGGUGGCUUUGGGUAGACACCAACCUCUGAGUCUUACCCGGUUAGCAUAACUCUGUUGACCAUCCCUCCCAGCAGGAGGUAAAAACACUGAUGUGGCCCGUCAUGAUUUCGAUCUCCUCACACAGCCUCUAUGCCCCCUCCCAUCAGACGGGCCGGGGUGGGCGUGGCCGUAUGUCACAGAGCCGGGCCAGUACUCGGCGCUCCGAAAUCCCGUAGCGCUCCCAGGUCCUCGCGGGAGGCGUCGGCCCAGGAGGACCCGAGUCCCUAGGUACCGCGAGGAAGCGCACGCGGAGAGGGGUGGCUUUGAAAGUGGGUGGCCUUUCGUGGCUGCCAGCAGCGUCGGUAGCGGUUCGGGUUCAGCCACAGGUCUCAGGUCCCCAAGAGCAAGAGUGAUCAAGUGAAGGAAUGAAGGAAGAAAGAAGAGGUGCUUAGACUUGGAUAUCAUUGCUCCUAGAGACAACUUCAAGCAGACACCGAGCUUUCUGACUCUUAAGAACUUCGUGGCAGAUGCAGGAGAGAUGAAAGACAGAAGAAUCCAUGUUACUGUUUAGUGAGCACAGAAGAAAAUGACGAAGGCCCAGGUGAUUUUCGUUUGUUACGUUUUUCGUAUGUUUUUCACAGGUUUCUGGUGACCUGAGAAAAAUCAGUUCAGCCUUUUAGUAUAAAUUGGGAUUAUUGGAUUCUGGGGAGAAAUUAACUUAAACUCUAAAUUCAAAGGCAGGGCAAAGUGAAAUCAGGAAUGUUUUACUCACAGGGGUCAUUCUGAAGGACUACUGUUAGAACACGGGUGUGACUGGUGCAUCCUGUGGGUUACGGUAGCAGUCACUUUGAGUCUGAUAUCUCUAAGAGACAUCAUAACCAGAGAGACAUGAAAAGCUGCAUGAUGUGCACUGACUCUGUGGGGAAGGCAGG